Molecule: ribosomal RNA, 460 nt
Filed under: uncultured bacterium
Lineage: Bacteria
Description: bacterial SSU rRNA
Rfam family: Bacterial small subunit ribosomal RNA
Source: RNAcentral
ACACAUGCAAGUCGAACGGGAGAGAAGGAGCUUGCUUCUUCGAUCGAGUGGCGAACGGGUGAGUAACGCGUGAGGAACCUGCCUCAAAGAGGGGGACAACAGUUGGAAACGACUGCUAAUACCGCAUAAGCCCACGGGUCGGCAUCGACCUGAGGGAAAAGGAGCAAUCCGCUUUGAGAUGGCCUCGCGUCCGAUUAGCUAGUUGGUGAGGUAACGGCCCACCAAGGCGACGAUCGGUAGCCGGACUGAGAGGUUGAACGGCCACAUUGGGACUGAGACACGGCCCAGACUCCUACGGGAGGCAGCAGUGGGGAAUAUUGCACAAUGGGGGAAACCCUGAUGCAGCGACGCCGCGUGGAGGAAGAAGGUCUUCGGAUUGUAAACUCCUGUUGUUGAGGAAGAUAAUGACGGUACUCAACAAGGAAGUGACGGCUAACUACGUGCCAGCAGCCGCGGUAAA